This 386-nucleotide ribosomal RNA is filed under the name Tropidophorus sinicus. Its description in RNAcentral is "partial 12S rRNA". It matches the Rfam family "Bacterial small subunit ribosomal RNA", at positions 794 to 1384 of the family's 1533-position model. The record is from RNAcentral. Lineage: Eukaryota; Metazoa; Chordata; Lepidosauria; Squamata; Scincidae.
GCUUAGCCCUAAACACAGAUAUUAUUCACCACAACACUAUCCGCCAGAGAACUACAAGCGAAAAGCUUAAAACUCCAAGGACUUGGCGGUGCUUCAAACCAACCUAGAGGAGCCUGUCCUAUAAUCGAUACCCCGCGUUUUACCUUACCACCCCUUGACAACCAGCCUAUAUACCGCCGUCGUCAGCCUACCUUAUGAAAGAACCAAAGUAGGCAAAACAAUUAAUAACUAACACGUCAGGUCAAGGUGUAGCACAUGGAGUGGCAGAGAUGGCCUACAUUUUUAACACAUAAACACACGAACAGCACCCUGAAACACAUGCUCGAAGGCGGAUUUAGUAGUAAGAUAGACAAGAAGACCCAUCUUAAACCUGCUCUGAAGCGCGC